RNAcentral lists this ribosomal RNA (604 nucleotides) under uncultured bacterium. RNAcentral's name for it is "bacterial SSU rRNA". It matches the Rfam family "Bacterial small subunit ribosomal RNA", at positions 112 to 714 of the family's 1533-position model. The record is from RNAcentral.
AACGCGUAUGCAAUCUACCUAUAACUGAGGAAUAGCCCAGAGAAAUUUGGAUUAAUACCUCAUAAUAAUAUUUUUUGGCAUCAUUUAAUAUUUAAAACUCCGGUGGUUAUAGAUGAGCAUGCGUUCUAUUAGUUAGUUGGUGAGGUAAGAGCUCACCAAGACUUCGAUAGAUAGGGGGCCUGAAAGGGUGAUCCCCCACACUGGUACUGAGACACGGACCAGACUCCUACGGGAGGCAGCAGUGAGGAAUAUUGCACAAUGGAGGAAACUCUGGUGCAGCCAUGCCGCGUGCAGGACGAAUGCCCUAUGGGUUGUAAACUGCUUUUUUACAAGAAGAAACCUUGGUACGUGUACCAACUUGACGGUAUUGUAAGAAUAAGCACCGGCUAACUCCGUGCCAGCAGCCGCGGUAAUACGGAGGGUGCAAGCGUUAUCCGGAUUUAUUAGGUUUAAAGGGUUCGCAGGCGGAAUUUUAAGUCAGUGGUGAAAGCCUAUAGCUCAACUAUAGAACUGCCACUGAUACUGAUAUUCUUGAGUAUAGAUGAAGUGGGCGGAAUAUGUCAUGUAGCGGUGUAAUGCAUAGAUAUGACAUGGAACACCAAUU